Molecule: ribosomal RNA, 430 nt
Filed under: Pseudomonadota bacterium
Lineage: Bacteria; Pseudomonadati; Pseudomonadota
Description: Proteobacteria bacterium partial 16S ribosomal RNA
Rfam family: Bacterial small subunit ribosomal RNA
Source: RNAcentral
UGGGGAAUAUUGGACAAUGGGGGGAACCCUGAUCCAGCCAUGCCGCGUGUGUGAAGGAGGCCUUAUGGUUGUAAAGCACUUUAAGCGAGGAGGAGGGUACUGGUAUUAAUACUACCAGGUACUGGACGUUACUCGCAGAAUAAGCACCGGCUAACUCUGUGCCAGCAGCCGCGGUAAUACAGAGGGUGCGAGCGUUAAUCGGAUUUACUGGGCGUAAAGCGUGCGUAGGCGGCUAAUUGAGUCGGAUGUGAAAUCCCCGAGCUUAACUUGGGAAUUGCAUUCGAUACUGGUUAGCUAGAGUGUGGGAGAGGAUGGUAGAAUUCCAGGUGUAGCGGUGAAAUGCGUAGAGAUCUGGAGGAAUACCGAUGGCGAAGGCAGCCAUCUGGCCUAACACUGACGCUGAGGUACGAAAGCAUGGGGAGCAAACAGG